GAUGAACGCUCGCGAUAGGCUUAACACAUGCAAGUCGAGGGGCAGCAUGGUCUUAGCUUGCUAAGGCUGAUGGCGACCGGCGCACGGGUGCGUAACGCGUAUGCAACUUGCCUCACAGAGGGGGAUAACCCGUCGAAAGACGGACUAAUACCGCGUACACUCUAUGUUGGGCAUCCAAUGUAGAGGAAAUGAAAUUCGCUGUGAGAUAGGCAUGCGUCCCAUUAGCUAGUUGGUGAGGUAACGGCUCACCAAGGCGACGAUGGGUAGGGGAACUGAGAGGUUGAACCCCCACACUGGUACUGAGACACGGACCAGACGCCUACGGGAGGCAGCAGUGAGGAAUAUUGGUCAAUGGGCGAGAGCCUGAACCAGCCAAGUCGCGUGAAGGAUGACUGUCUUAUGGAUUGUAAACUUCUUUUAUACGGGAAUAACAAGAGUCACGUGUGGCUCCCUGCAUGUACCGUAUGAAUAAGCAUCGGCUAACUCCGUG
Molecule: ribosomal RNA, 490 nt
Filed under: uncultured bacterium
Lineage: Bacteria
Description: partial 16S ribosomal RNA
Rfam family: Bacterial small subunit ribosomal RNA
Source: RNAcentral